AGAAGGCGGCGGCUACCAUGCAAGUCGAGCGGAAACAAAAGUACUUGCUACUCUGGCGACAGCGGCGGACGGGUGAGUAAUGCUUGGGAACAUGCCUUGAGGUGGGGGACAACAGUUGGAAACCACUGCUAAUACCGCAUAAUGUCUACGGACCAAGGGGGGCUUCGGCUCUCGCCUUUAUAUUGGCCCAAGUGGGAUUAUCUAGUUGGUGAGGUAGUGGCUCCCCAAGGCGACGAUCCCUAUCUGGUUUGAGAAGAUGAUCACCCACACUGGGACUGAAACACGGCCCACACUCCUACGGGAGGCAACAGUGGGGAAUAUUGCACAGUGGGCGCAAGCCUGAUGCACCCAUGCCGCGUGUGUGAAAAAGGCCUUCGGGUUGUAAAGCACUUUCACUCAAGAAGAAAGGUUAGUAGUUAAUACCUGCUAUCUGUGACGUUACUGACAGAAGAAGCACCGGCUAACUCCGUGCCAGCACCCGCGGUAAUACGGAGGGUGCGAGCGUUAAUCAGAAUUACUGGGCGUAAAGCGUACGCACGCGGUUUGUUAAGCGAGAUGUGAAAGCCCCGGGCUCAACCUGAGAACUGCAUUUCAAACUGGCAAACUAGAGUGAGAUAGAGGGUGAUAAAAUUUCAUGUGUAGCGGUGAAAUGCGUAGAGAUCUGAAAGAAUACCGAUGGCGAACGCACCCACCUGGGUCAACUCUGACGCUCAUGUACGAGAGCGUGGAGAGCAAACGAGAUUAUAUACCAUUGAUUCUCA
This 761-nucleotide ribosomal RNA is filed under the name Pseudoalteromonas sp. Its description in RNAcentral is "bacterial SSU rRNA". It matches the Rfam family "Bacterial small subunit ribosomal RNA", at positions 37 to 797 of the family's 1533-position model. Lineage: Bacteria; Pseudomonadati; Pseudomonadota; Gammaproteobacteria; Alteromonadales; Pseudoalteromonadaceae. The record is from RNAcentral.